This 101-nucleotide small nuclear RNA is filed under the name Vulpes vulpes (red fox). The record is from RNAcentral. Lineage: Eukaryota; Metazoa; Chordata; Mammalia; Carnivora; Canidae.
GUGCUCACUUCAGCAGCACAUUUACUCAAAUUGGAAGGAUUCAGAGAUCAGCAUGGCCCCUGUGCAAGGACUAUACACAAUUUUUUUUUUUUUAAGAUUUU